Molecule: ribosomal RNA, 253 nt
Filed under: uncultured bacterium
Lineage: Bacteria
Description: partial 16S ribosomal RNA
Rfam family: Bacterial small subunit ribosomal RNA
Source: RNAcentral
UACGAAGGGAGCUAGCGUUGUUCGGAAUCACUGGGCGUAAAGCGCACGUAGGCGGAUGUGUCAGUCAGGGGUGAAAUCCCGGAGCUCAACUUCGGAACUGCCUUUGAUACAGCACGUCUUGAGUCCGGAAGAGGUGGGUGGAAUUCCUAGUGUAGAGGUGAAAUUCGUAGAUAUUAGGAAGAACACCGGUGGCGAAGGCGGCCCACUGGUCCGGUACUGACGCUGAGGCGCGAAAGCUAGGGGAGCAAACAGG